This 480-nucleotide ribosomal RNA is filed under the name Vibrio owensii. RNAcentral's name for it is "bacterial SSU rRNA". It matches the Rfam family "Bacterial small subunit ribosomal RNA", at positions 291 to 763 of the family's 1533-position model. Lineage: Bacteria; Pseudomonadati; Pseudomonadota; Gammaproteobacteria; Vibrionales; Vibrionaceae. The record is from RNAcentral.
UCUGAGAGGAUGAUCAGCCACACUGGAACUGAGACACGGUCCAGACUCCUACGGGAGGCAGCAGUGGGGAAUAUUGCACAAUGGGCGCAAGCCUGAUGCAGCCAUGCCGCGUGUGUGAAGAAGGCCUUCGGGUUGUAAAGCACUUUCAGUCGUGAGGAAGGUGGUGUAGUUAAUAGCUGCAUUACUUGACGUUAGCGACAGAAGAAGCACCGGCUAACUCCGUGCCAGCAGCCGCGGUAAUACGGAGGGUGCGAGCGUUAAUCGGAAUUACUGGGCGUAAAGCGCAUGCAGGUGGUUUGUUAAGUCAGAUGUGAAAGCCCGGGGCUCAACCUCGGAAUAGCAUUUGAAACUGGCAGACUAGAGUACUGUAGAGGGGGGUAGAAUUUCAGGUGUAGCGGUGAAAUGCGUAGAGAUCUGAAGGAAUACCGGUGGCGAAGGCGGCCCCCUGGACAGAUACUGACACUCAGAUGCGAAAGCGUG